GGGCACAUGGUGUAGUUGGUUAUCACGUUCGCUUCGCACGUGAUUGGAUCACGUGAUUGCGAAAGGUGUCCGGUUCAAUUCCGGAUGUGUCCA
Molecule: non-coding RNA, 93 nt
Organism: Dentipellis sp. KUC8613
Lineage: Eukaryota; Fungi; Basidiomycota; Agaricomycetes; Russulales; Hericiaceae
Source: the annotation of a GenBank genome assembly